Long non-coding RNA from Suricata suricatta (meerkat), 478 nucleotides. RefSeq lists it as uncharacterized. The transcript is spliced from 3 exons. The record is from RefSeq and is a predicted model, not a curated record. Lineage: Eukaryota; Metazoa; Chordata; Mammalia; Carnivora; Herpestidae.
GCACACAGCUCGUGGCCCCCACGCCACCAUGGCUCAGCGUCCAGGAAAGCCACAAGGACCUGGGCCACGGCCGCUCGCCCUCGGAGAGGCCACGAGACCCAGGAUCAUUCGCCGAAGUGACCGGCCACUGGCUGGUGACCCGCCCUGAGGUGUGGACAUCGCAGGGAAGGCACCCAGGAGCCCACCAGGGCUGUGAUUUCAGCAAGGUGGUCCCGGGGGAGCCUAUGAGAAGGGGACUCCGGAGCGAAGACCCACAGUCCUGGGGCAUAACUACAUACGGGCCUCUCCUCCUCCACAUUAAUGAUUCCAUGGCUGCCAAGAGUCACUUUUCACAGACUUCCUCUCAGAGCUGACGUUUGGGACUCUCCAAAAGGCAGCUGAUCAGAGGAAGGCACUCCGUUCACUCACGAUAGUGACUUUCAGUGCGUCACAGAGGGACCCAUCUCGAGUUAUAUUCUUCACACAAAUACGGAUACUA